Molecule: transfer RNA, 72 nt
Filed under: Marmota monax (woodchuck)
Lineage: Eukaryota; Metazoa; Chordata; Mammalia; Rodentia; Sciuridae
Rfam family: tRNA
About the family: Transfer RNA (tRNA) molecules are approximately 80 nucleotides in length.
Source: Rfam by way of RNAcentral
UGGGUUGUGGCUCAGCGGUAGAGUGCUCUUCUAGCAAGUGCGAGGCUCUGGGUUCGAUCCUCAGCACCACAU